UACGUAGGGGGCAAGCGUUGUCCGGAUUUAUUGGGCGUAAAGAGCGUGUAGGCGGCCUGAAAGGUCAGCUGUGAAAACUCGAGGCUCAACCUCGAGACGUCGGUUGAAACCAUCUGGCUAGAGUCCGGAAGAGGAGUGUGGAAUUCCCGGUGUAGCGGUGAAAUGCGCAGAUAUCGGGAAGAACACCCGUGGCGAAGGCGGCACUCUGGGACGGUACUGACGCGUGAGACGCGAAAAGCGUGGGGAGCGAACGAGG
Molecule: ribosomal RNA, 256 nt
Filed under: uncultured bacterium
Lineage: Bacteria
Description: partial 16S ribosomal RNA
Rfam family: Bacterial small subunit ribosomal RNA
Source: RNAcentral